RNAcentral lists this small nuclear RNA (102 nucleotides) under Suricata suricatta (meerkat). RNAcentral describes it as "U2 spliceosomal RNA (ENSSSUG00005003277.1)". It matches the Rfam family "U2 spliceosomal RNA". From Rfam's summary of the family: U2 is a small nuclear RNA (snRNA) component of the spliceosome (involved in pre-mRNA splicing). Complementary binding between U2 snRNA (in an area lying towards the 5' end but 3' to hairpin I) and the branchpoint sequence (BPS) of the intron results the bulging out of an unpaired adenosine, on the BPS, which initiates a nucleophilic attack at the intronic 5' splice site, thus starting the first of two transesterification reactions that mediate splicing. Lineage: Eukaryota; Metazoa; Chordata; Mammalia; Carnivora; Herpestidae. The record is from RNAcentral.
AUCGUUUCUUGGCCUUUUGGCUAAGAUCAAGUGUAGUAUCUGUUCUUAUCAGUUUAAUAAAAUAAAGAUAAAAAUAAAAGUUUUUUGGUAUAUGCACAUCAU